Molecule: long non-coding RNA, 212 nt
Filed under: Physcomitrium patens
Lineage: Eukaryota; Viridiplantae; Streptophyta; Bryopsida; Funariales; Funariaceae
Description: long non-coding RNA (PPAT_LNC000637)
Source: RNAcentral
ACAAUCUUCUUAAAGAGUCUUUUAAAUUCAAGAUUGAAGUAGCUUUUUGUUCUUUGAAGAACGUUUGUUCAUUCUUGAAGGACUAACUCACUUGCGCAUUUUUCAAACAUGCCAUGACUUUCUUUCAAUUGGACAUUUUGGAUUCAACAAGACCUUGGAAUUUUUGGUAGCCUAAAAUAUGGAAGGACAUUAAGGAAUUCAUAUUAUCAUAU